RNAcentral lists this ribosomal RNA (419 nucleotides) under bacterium. Its description in RNAcentral is "partial 16S ribosomal RNA". It matches the Rfam family "Bacterial small subunit ribosomal RNA", at positions 355 to 776 of the family's 1533-position model. The record is from RNAcentral.
UGGGGGAUAUUGCACAAUGGGCGAAAGCCUGAUGCAGCGACGCCGCGUGGGGGAUGAAGGCCUUCGGGUUGUAAACUUCUUUUGCCCUGAACAAGGCAUGCUAAUGGGUGUGUUGAGUGUAGGGGUUGAUUAGCGCCGGCUAACUACGUGCCAGCAGCCGCGGUAAUACGUAGGGCGCGAGCGUUGCCCGGAAUUAUUGGGCGUAAAGGGCUGGUAGGUGGCUGGUUGCGUCUGUCGUGAAAGCUCAUGGCUUAACUGUGGGUUUGCGGUGGGUACGGGCUGGCUUGAGUGCAGGGAGGGAGGCUAGAAUUCCUGGUGUUGCGGUGGAAUGCGCAGAUAUCAGGAGGCAUACCGGUGGCGAAGGCGGGUCUCUGGGCUGUUACUGGCACUGAGGAGCGAAAGCAUGGGGAGCGAACAGG